This 447-nucleotide ribosomal RNA is filed under the name uncultured bacterium. RNAcentral's name for it is "bacterial SSU rRNA". It matches the Rfam family "Bacterial small subunit ribosomal RNA", at positions 28 to 457 of the family's 1533-position model. The record is from RNAcentral.
GAUGAACGCUGGCGGCGUGCUUAACACAUGCAAGUCGAACGAAGCGCCUUGAUUUGAUUCUUCGGAUGAAGAUCUUGGUGACUGAGUGGCGGACGGGUGAGUAACGCGUGGGUAACCUGCCUCAUACAGGGGGAUAACAGUUAGAAAUGACUGCUAAUACCGCAUAAGACCACAGCACCGCAUGGUGCAGGGGUAAAAACUCCGGUGGUAUGAGAUGGACCCGCGUCUGAUUAGGUGGUUGGUGGGGUAACGGCCUACCAAGCCGACGAUCAGUAGCCGACCUGAGAGGGUGACCGGCCACAUUGGGACUGAGACACGGCCCAAACUCCUACGGGAGGCAGCAGUGGGGAAUAUUGCACAAUGGGGGAAACCCUGAUGCAGCGACGCCGCGUGAGCGAUGAAGUAUUUCGGUAUGUAAAGCUCUAUCAGCAGGGAAGAAAAUGACGG